Molecule: ribosomal RNA, 200 nt
Filed under: uncultured bacterium
Lineage: Bacteria
Description: partial 16S ribosomal RNA
Rfam family: Bacterial small subunit ribosomal RNA
Source: RNAcentral
AGAGUUUGAUCCUGGCUCAGGACGAACGCUGGCGGCGUGCUUAACACAUGCAAGUCGAGCGGAAAGGCCCUUCGGGGUACUCGAGCGGCGAACGGGUGAGUAACACGUGAGCAACCUGCCCCUGGCUCCGGGAUAGCUCCGGGAAACCGGGAUUAAUACCGGAUGUGACCUCCUUGUGCAUGCUUGGGGGUGGAAAGGGU